UAACGUAGCGAAAGCUACGCUAAUACCGCAUACGAUCUAUGGAUGAAAGCGGGGGAUCGCAAGACCUCGCGCGAUUGGAGCGGCCGAUAUCAGAUUAGGUAGUUGGUGGGGUAAAAGCCCACCAAGCCGACGAUCUGUAGCUGGUCUGAGAGGACGACCAGCCACACUGGGACUGAGACACGGCCCAGACUCCUACGGGAGGCAGCAGUGGGGAAUUUUGGACAAUGGGCGCAAGCCUGAUCCAGCAAUGCCGCGUGCAGGAUGAAGGCCUUCGGGUUGUAAACUGCUUUUGUACGGAACGAAACGGCGAGCUCUAAUACAGUUUGCUAAUGACGGUACCGUAAGAAUAAGCACCGGCUAACUACGUG
RNAcentral lists this ribosomal RNA (368 nucleotides) under uncultured bacterium. RNAcentral's name for it is "bacterial SSU rRNA". It matches the Rfam family "Bacterial small subunit ribosomal RNA", at positions 144 to 507 of the family's 1533-position model. The record is from RNAcentral.